AUGCUUUGCGCUAACAACUACAGCUUAACAGGUGUCUUCUUACCCACUGUCGCGCUGCAUCACCUCACCUGCAUUUCGGUCUUCUUUGCCUUCGAUGUUCCUGCACUACUGCAAGGCGAUGCCGGCAGCUCAGCCCCACACCCGCACACUCCAUCUUCUCCCCAACGCUACUCGUGGCCCUCCCGGCCUUCCAGUCCUACUUCUACGACGAACUCAUGUCAUCUCUGCUCAACUGCUCGAACUCUCUGCUCACCUGUACAUGCUUUUCCAGUUGUUUGUGUUAAUGCCAGUAAGGCUGAGUGUUGUAGAGAUGGCUCAUGCAGUGUUGCAACAGUCAUUGCUCAUGUCGCCGGAGCUCUCGACAACAGUUUUUUUACGUUUGAUGUUUAUUAA
This 393-nucleotide ribosomal RNA is filed under the name Triticum aestivum (bread wheat). RNAcentral describes it as "partial small subunit ribosomal RNA". Lineage: Eukaryota; Viridiplantae; Streptophyta; Magnoliopsida; Poales; Poaceae. The record is from RNAcentral.